RNAcentral lists this long non-coding RNA (290 nucleotides) under Elaeis guineensis (African oil palm). RNAcentral describes it as "long non-coding RNA (EGUI_LNC080232)". Lineage: Eukaryota; Viridiplantae; Streptophyta; Magnoliopsida; Arecales; Arecaceae. The record is from RNAcentral.
UUUGAUAGUCAAGGUCGUCAGUCGGGCGUACUUUCCCCCGUCGUGAGUCGAGCGUGUUUGUUGAGUCGGAAGCCGACCGACCGUGAUAAAGGUUCGGUAGUCGGGUCUCUUCCGACGCGUUCAGUCGAAUGUCGUCCGGCGCAUUUAGUCGAGGGAGCACCGAUAAGUCGGACCCCGAUACCCUUGUGUCGGAUAUCUGUACUGCGCCUCACGAUAUACGGUGGUAAGUCGAAUAUCUUCCGGCCGGCCGUAGCCCGGUCGGUGAAUCAUGAAUGCGACCGAGGUCGCAU